Molecule: ribosomal RNA, 428 nt
Filed under: uncultured bacterium
Lineage: Bacteria
Description: bacterial SSU rRNA
Rfam family: Bacterial small subunit ribosomal RNA
Source: RNAcentral
UGGGGAAUAUUGCACAAUGGGGGAAACCCUGAUGCAGCGACGCCGCGUGAGCGAAGAAGUAUCUCGGUAUGUAAAGCCUCUAUCAGGCAAGGGAAAUGAAAAUGACGGUCACCUGAACUAAAGGCAAGGCCCCUGGACUAACUACCGUGCCAGCAGCCGCGGUAAUACGUAGGGGGCAAGCGUUAUCCGGAUUUACUGGGUGUAAAGGGAGCGUAGACGGCAAUGCAAGUCUGAAGUGAAAGGACGGGGCUUAACCCUGUGACUGCUUUGGAAACUGUGUAGCUUGAGUGCCGGAGGGGUAAGCGGAAUUCCUAGUGUAGCGGUGAAAUGCGUAGAUAUUAGGAGGAACACCAGUGGCGAAGGCGGCUUACUGGACGGUAACUGACGUUGAGGCUCGAAAGCGUGGGGAGCAAACAGGAUUAGAUACC